GAUGAACGCUGGCGGUAUGCUUAACACAUGCAAGUCGAACGGACUCUUCGGAGUUAGUGGCGGACGGGUGAGUAACGCGUGAGAAUCUGGCUUCUGGUUCGGGAUAACAGUGGGAAACGACUGCUAAUACCGGAUGUGCCUGCGGGUAAAAGGCUUGCUGCCAGAAGAUGAGCUCGCGUCUGAUUAGCUAGUUGGUGGGGUAAGAGCCUACCAAGGCGACGAUCAGUAGCUGGUCUGAGAGGAUGAUCAGCCACACUGGGACUGAGACACGGCCCAGACUCCUACGGGAGGCAGCAGUGGGGAAUUUUCCGCAAUGGGCGAAAGCCUGACGGAGCAAUACCGCGUGUGGGAAGAAGGCUCUUGGGUUGUAAACCUUUUUUCUCAGGGAAUAAGAAAGUGAAGGUACCUGAGGAAUCAGCAUCGGCUAACUCCGUGCCAGCAGCCGCGGUAAUACGGAGGAUGCAAGCGUUAUCCGGAAUGAUUGGGCGUAAAGCGUCCGCAGGUGGUU
This 508-nucleotide ribosomal RNA is filed under the name uncultured bacterium. RNAcentral's name for it is "bacterial SSU rRNA". It matches the Rfam family "Bacterial small subunit ribosomal RNA", at positions 28 to 580 of the family's 1533-position model. The record is from RNAcentral.